CCCUUAGAUGUUCUGGGCUGCACGCGCGCUACACUGAUGCGUUCAACGAGUUUAUGACCUUGCCCGAUAGGGUUGGGUAAUCUUUUUAAAUCGCAUCGUGAUGGGGAUAGAUUAUUGCAAUUAUUAAUCUUCAACGAGGAAUUCCUAGUAAGCGCGAGUCAUCAGCUCGUGCUGAUUACGUCCCUGCCCUUUGUACACACCGCCCGUCGCUCCUACCGAUUGAACGUGCUGGUGAAGCGUUAGGACUGGCCUCCCGUGUCGGGUCUCCCUUCAACGGGGCGCCGGGAAUUUCGUUGAACCCUCCCGUUUAGAGGAAGGAGAAGUCGUAACA
RNAcentral lists this ribosomal RNA (331 nucleotides) under uncultured eukaryote. RNAcentral describes it as "partial 18S ribosomal RNA". It matches the Rfam family "Eukaryotic small subunit ribosomal RNA", at positions 1470 to 1796 of the family's 1831-position model. The record is from RNAcentral.